UACGGAGGGAGCUAGCGUUAUUCGGAAUUACUGGGCGUAAAGCGCACGUAGGCGGCUUUGUAAGUAAGAGGUGAAAGCCCAGAGCUCAACUCUGGAAUUGCCUUUUAGACUGCAUCGCUUGAAUCAUGGAGAGGUCAGUGGAAUUCCGAGUGUAGAGGUGAAAUUCGUAGAUAUUCGGAAGAACACCAGUGGCGAAGGCGGCUGACUGGACAUGUAUUGACGCUGAGGUGCGAAAGCGUGGGGAGCAAACAGGAUUGAGAUACCCG
This 266-nucleotide ribosomal RNA is filed under the name uncultured bacterium. Its description in RNAcentral is "partial 16S ribosomal RNA". It matches the Rfam family "Bacterial small subunit ribosomal RNA", at positions 524 to 788 of the family's 1533-position model. The record is from RNAcentral.